Daktulosphaira vitifoliae (grape phylloxera) is the source of this 722-nucleotide long non-coding RNA. RefSeq lists it as uncharacterized. Lineage: Eukaryota; Metazoa; Arthropoda; Insecta; Hemiptera; Phylloxeridae. The record is from RefSeq and is a predicted model, not a curated record. The transcript has 3 exons.
AAAACAUUUAAAUAGCAAUUGGCUAUUACGUUAAAGAUAUUUUUCUAAUACUAUUUUAUAAGUUAAGAUUGACAGAAAAAUGAUGUUUACGAAGUAUUUUUAUUUCUUUUUCUUAUUGCCUCUUGUAAAAUCCAAUGACACCAUUCAGCAGCCAAAGCAGAACUUAUUAACAUGUUUGAUAAAUUCUGGUUUGAAUAAUGACAAAAUCAUAAAUUCUCAAAACAAAUUUACUCGUAAAUUUAAAGACAUUUUAUUGAAACGGAGUAUAGAUAUUCUACGUUUAGGUAAUUAUGAUAAAAUUAACGAAGUUGCAAAAUCUUUGUACGAUUAGAUUGUUCGUCGCGGUCAACGAGGAAUUAAAUUGCACGAAUGUUGUUUAAUGUAUGCUACUGAACUAACAAAUUUAAAGAAAAAUAAGGAUCUUAUUGAGCCGUAUGAAAAUAUGGUUCGCGAUUGGAGUAAUGAAGAUAAAGUUUUGCCAACGAUACUUCGAGAAGAUAACAUGACUAUGGACGAAGGAUACGAACUGGGGGAUACAUGUCAAAUAGUUGUAUUGACUGGUGAUACUGAAGAUACAGACCGCAUCAAGGUGGAUCGUUAUAAUUAAGAUUUAAAAAUAUUAAUGGAUGAUGACAGAUUUGUUUUAAUUGUUUAAAAAAUAUUUAAUUUGUAAAAAUUAUAUAAAACAAUAAAUAGUAAAAAAAUGUCUGUGUUAUCUACAA